AGUUUGAUCCUGGCUCAGAUUGAACGCUGGCGGGAUGCUUUACAUGCAAGUCAGACGGCAGCGCGGACUUCGGUCUGGUGGCAGGUGGCGAACAGGUGAGUAAUGUAUCGGAACGACGCUCGUGGCGGGGGAUAACUACGCGAAAGCGUAGCUAAUACAUACGCCCUUCGAAGGCGGGGACCUUCGGGCCUCGCACUAUUAAACGGCCGAUAUCGGAUUAGCUAGUUGGGUAGAGUAACGGCUCACCAGGCGACGAUCCGUAGCUGGUUUGAGAGGACGACCAGCCACACUGGGACUGAGACACGGCUUGAACUCUGCAGAGGCGGCGGUGGGAAUUUUGGACCGUGGAAGCCCAGUCGAAGCUGCAUCCGCGGUGACGCGAUGAGAAGCCGCUGGGUUGGCUAAAGCGCUGGCAGAAAAACAGCGCAGGAUACCCGUGCAGCUGACAGUACCUGCAAGAAUAAGCACCGGCUAACUACGUGCCAGCAGCCACUUUGUUGUACGGCAGAUGCGGCUGGUCUGUCGGGGAAUUACGGGCGUAAAGCGUGCCGCGGUUCGGAAAAGAUGUGAAAUCCCAGAGCUUAACUUUGGAACUGCAUUUUUAACUACCGAGCUAGUGCUGUCAGGAGGUGAAUUUAAAGCGUCGUAGCAGUGAAACUAAAUGCAGAUACUGCUGGGAGAGGAACUGCUAGGCUGGCGAAGGCAGCCUCACCAGGAUAGCAGCUGCUGGCGCUGUUGCGGCGUGGGGGCGAGCUUGGGAUUGAAUGCCCUGGUGACCGCUUCCCCUGGCGAUGUCAACUUCAACUGGUGCGGGGCCUUCGGGCCUUGGUAGCGCAGCUAACGCGUGAAGUUGACCGCCUGCAGGAAUACGGUCAUAGAUUAAAACUCAAAGGAAUUGACGGGGACCACGGCGGUGGAUGAUGUUGGUUAAUUCGGAAUUUUGCGCGAAAAACCUUACCUACCUUGACAUGUCUGGAAUCCCGAAGAGAUUUGGGAGUGCUCGCAAGAGAACCGGAACACAGGUGCUGCAUGGCUGUCGUCAGCUCGUGUCAUUGAGAUGUUGGGUUAAGUCCACCAACGAGCGCAACCCUUGUCAUUGUAGUUGUCGAAAAGGGCACUCUAAUGAGACUGCCGGUGAUGAAACCGGAGGAAGGUGGGGAUGACGUCAAGUCCUCAUGGCCCUUAUGGUGGGCUUCACGUCAUACAAUGGUCGGGACAGAGGUCGCCAACCCGCGAGGAAGACGCCGUCGAAGCUUCCGAUCAGCAGUCAAGAUCGCGGAAGUCGACCAGGCUUUCGCGGCGCAGUCUCAAAGAAUCAAAAACAAUAGUAAUCGCGGAUCAGCAUGUCGCGGUGAAUACGUUCCCGGGUCUUGUACACACCGCCCGUCACACCAUGGGAGUGGGUUUUACCAAGUGGUUAGCCUAACCGUAAGGAGGGCGAUUACCACGGUAGAAGUUCAUGACUGGGGUGAAGUCGUAACAAGGUAG
This 1488-nucleotide ribosomal RNA is filed under the name uncultured Bordetella sp. Its description in RNAcentral is "partial 16S-23S ribosomal RNA intergenic spacer". It matches the Rfam family "Bacterial small subunit ribosomal RNA". Lineage: Bacteria; Pseudomonadati; Pseudomonadota; Betaproteobacteria; Burkholderiales; Alcaligenaceae. The record is from RNAcentral.